GAUGAAGAACGUAGCGAAAUGCGAUAAGUAGUGUGAAUUGCAGAAUUCAGUGAAACAUCGAAUCUUUGAACGCACAUUGCGCCCUUUGGUAUUCCUUAGGGCAUGCCUGUUCGAGCGUCAUUUAAACCUUCAAGCUAAGCUUGGUGUUGGGUGACUGUCCGCUUCACUGCGGACUCGCCUCAAAAUUAUUGGCGGCCGGUACAUUGGCUUCGAGCGCAGCAGAAACGCGAACUCGGGCCCGUCGUAUUGGCUCCCAGAAGCUAUCUUCACAAUUUUGACCUCGGAUCAGGUAGGGAUACCCGCUGAACUUAAGCAUAUCAAUAAGCGGAGGA
This 332-nucleotide unclassified non-coding RNA is filed under the name soil metagenome. Its description in RNAcentral is "partial contains 5.8S ribosomal RNA, internal transcribed spacer 2, and large subunit ribosomal RNA". The stretch from base 1 to 120 matches the Rfam family "5.8S ribosomal RNA", at positions 35 to 154 of the family's 154-position model. The record is from RNAcentral.